CCUAAAGCAUCUCAGCACAAAGAAACCAGGAUAUGCCCUCAGAUAUACACAGGUUAGAUAGAAAAGGAGACACAGUAACGCAGAAAUAGAUCUAGGGAGAAGAGAUGAGGAACUUUAAAAGAAACUUAUGAAUGCCUCAAGCCCUGAAAGAAGCAUCAGCAAUCUCAGAAGCAAAGGGCCCCCAGCUUGGACUUUCAAUAAGAGUGGAAAGAAGCCCCCAUGUACUGAGUUUAGAAGGGCUGACAGACCACUGUGCUCCUGCCACCUACACAAUUUGUGUCAACUGGUAAAUGGACUAGUGGGCAGGGAAGAGCUGUUUAAGGACUAUUUGAGCCCAGAGAGGGCUGGAAGAUUGUGUGAUGUUUGUUCUGAACUGUUUAUCCUGUAAGAGCUUUAGUCAAAGCACUAAAUUACCCUACCAUAAGAAGACUGUAGACCAGAGUAGAAAACUGAAACAUGGAUUUAAGUUUCUUCACUCUGUCAGUCAUGUGCCCGUUACUAUUGAAUCUUAGUUGCUCACUGCCAGCAACCUAGUCUUCAGUCUUGUUUAAAUCUUCUAAACAGUUAUUUUGUAGACUUGGUAAAUAUUUGCAUAACACAAAUGCUUAGAGGCUCCAAAUCAGACUCUAUUGACUAUUAGACUAUUUUUCUACGUGUAACAUUAAA
This is a long non-coding RNA of Dermochelys coriacea (leatherback sea turtle), 666 nucleotides long. RefSeq lists it as uncharacterized. NCBI's taxonomy places the organism in Eukaryota, Metazoa, Chordata, Testudines, Dermochelyidae. The record is from RefSeq and is a predicted model, not a curated record. The transcript is spliced from 4 exons.